This is a non-coding RNA of Cricetulus griseus (Chinese hamster), 620 nucleotides long. The record is from RefSeq and is a predicted model, not a curated record. NCBI's taxonomy places the organism in Eukaryota, Metazoa, Chordata, Mammalia, Rodentia, Cricetidae.
CAUUUCUCUCUACUUCCACCGGUUGGCUGCAGGGCUAGGGCAGGGCAGAGACCGGAAUAGAAGAGCUAAAUUUAUCCUGGGAGCCCGGGCGUGGCUGCGGCUCAGGCCGCGCGGCCUGGAUGGAGGCGGUGCUCGGUGGCCGCCCUCCCGGAGCUGGUUUCCUCCCUGGGAAAGCAGGUCUCUCCGCGGUGCUGAGGAGCUCGGGCUGGAAUUUCCCCGCAGCGCCGCCCCGCCGGGAGGGACCAGGAGGGAUCUACCCGAGCCCGAUGAGCAGCCCGGGGAGACGCCCGAAACCCAGAACCUGCGCGUUAAAACUGAAAACUUUCCUCCCUUCCACCAUGUCAGUCCCAGGGAUCGAACUUACGCGGUCAGGCACGGUGGUACUCACCAUGGAUGUUUUCCCAGGGGGUAUUCCUGGAAGAGAUUAAGCCUGGGGACUCAUUUCUUCUGGGGACAAUUCAAGGGAAGGUGAGAACAGGCCUCAUUGGGCCUGGUAUAACAGGGUUCUAAUCUCAGCUACCUUCAGGCUGACACUGGAAGCUAGAGAAUUCAAGACCUGCCUGGAAUACAGAGACCCUAGCACAAACCCGAAACCAAUAAAUAACAAAAUCUUCGCUUGA